Molecule: long non-coding RNA, 2874 nt
Organism: Nerophis ophidion (straightnose pipefish)
Lineage: Eukaryota; Metazoa; Chordata; Actinopteri; Syngnathiformes; Syngnathidae
Exons: 12
Source: RefSeq, a predicted model, not a curated record
CUGAGGUCCUCUCCAAGGUUUCUCAUAGUCAGCAUUGUCACUGGCGUCCCACUGGAUGUGUUUCCUUGCCCUUUUGUGGGUUCUUCCGAGGAUGUUGUAGUCGUAAUGAUUUGUGCAGUCCUUUGAGACAUUUGUGAUUUGGGGCUAUAUAAAUAAACAUUGAUUGAUUGAUUGAGGUUCAGUGUGUCUGCUUUCUUUGUUGGACCAUCUGGAGAGUCUUUUUUUUUUUGACUGGAGCAAAACUACUGUCAGUUUAAAGGGGAACAUUAUCAGCAGACCUAUGCAAGCGUCAAUAUAUACCUUGAUGGUGCAGAAAAAAGACCAUAUAUUUUUUUAACCGAUUUCCGAACUCUAAAUGGGUGAAUUUUGGCAAAUUAAACGCCUUUCUGUUUAUCGCUCAUGUGGCGCCAUUUUCAUUUUCAAAACAUUACAAACACCGGGUCUCAGCUCUGUUAUUUUCAGUUUUUUCGACUAUUUUUUGAAACCUUGGAGACAUCAUGUCCCGUCGGUGUGUUGUCGGAGGGUGUAACAACACUAACAGGGAGGGAUUCAAGUUGCACCACUGGCCCGUAGAUGCGAAAGUGUCUGCCGCCAGACCCCCAUUGAAUGUGCCAAAGUGUCUCCACAUUUUACCGGCGAUGCUAAGACAGACAUGGCACAGAGAUGUAUGGAUAACCUGCAGAUGCAUUUGCAACAAUAAAGUCAACAAAAUCCCAAAGGUGAGUUUUGUUGAUGUUGUUGACUUAUGUGCUAAUCAGACAUAUUUGGUCGCGGCGUGACUGCCAGCUAAUCUAUGCUCACAUGCUACGCUAAUCGAUGCUUAUAUGCUAUUUACAGGCGGUGCUAAGGCAGACAUGGCACAGAGAUGUAUGGAUAACCUGCAGAUGCAUUUGCAACAAUAAAGUCAACGAAAUCACAAAGGCGGUGCUAAGGCAGACAUGGCACAGAGAUGUAUGAAUAACCUGCAGAUGCAUUUGCAGCGAUAAAAUCAACGAAAUCACAAAGACGUGACACAGAGAUGUAUGAAUAACCUGCAGAUGCAUUUGCAACGAUAAAAUCAACGAAAUCACAAAGGCGGUGCUAAGGCAGACAUGGCACAGAGAUGUAUGGAUAACCUGCAGAUGGAUUUGCAACGAUUAAGUCAACAAAAUCACAAAGAGAACACAAGUCUGGUGCUGGAAGAUACAAACAUCCUAUCCGUCGGCAUCCCAGUGAGAGCAGCCAUUGUACAAUUAGGAUGAAUUCUUCAUCUAAACGGGAAGAUAUAUGAACAUCCAUUCAGUCGGCAUCCCAGCGAGAGCAGACAUUGUGCAGCGUGAAAUAAAGCAAUCGGACAUUGAACUGAACUCGGGGCGAUGGCGAGCAGUGAGGUCAUGGCGUGACGCGCCCCCUCAGACGGCUUUUCCCAGGAUGAGGAUGCUCAUGAAGAAGACCAUGAUGAAGAAGAGCCACAUGAAGAAGCGAUCCAUCACCUUGGCCACCUUCCUCCACUCGCCGAUGCGGAGUUGCGCCGCUCGCUGGUCCUGGUAGGAACCGGCGAUGUAUUCCACGUUCCUGUGCAGUCCCUGAAGGUGACACGCGCACUGCAGCUUCCUCUGCUCCUUCCUGUCCUCCGCGCUCACCCCUCCCUCUCCCUUUGGCUCCACCGACACGCCGCCGGUGCUCUUUGGCUCCUCCCCCUGGCCGUCACCUCGCCCGGCAGCUCCGCCCUCCUCCGAGUGGUGGACGCUGACGAGCGGGUCGUCUUUCCGAUCGCUCUUGUUUGGGACGUCGUGCCCGUAGUUCUGCGCCCACCUCCUCCCGUUGCAGCUGCCGGCCUCGCUUGACUCCUCCCCCGACGGCGGCUUCCUGCGGGAGACCCCCCCGCUGAGGCAGUUGUCCCCCACCUCGUAGACGAAGCAGAUCCGGGCCAGGUGUUUGAGGAUGAAGCGCUCGGCCCAAGCUGGCACGGGUCCGGCCUCUGAGCCGCAGUGAUGGAUGUUCAUGAUGAAGAUGGACUCUGCAAAAAACUGACCUGUUGUACAGGACGAUGUCGGGCCGCCACACGUAGCUGCUCGGUAUGCGGAUGGCGUCCAGGCCAUCGUAGUCGUCCUUCUUCCAGGUGAGGAAGGCGUCCAUCCACACCUGGCGGACCCACAGCGUGACCUGCAGCGUCACGUUGAUGACGUGGUCCGUGUCCGCCACAGGACGCAAGGCGUUGGUGUAGUUGGAGAACAAGUCGCUCAGGAGCUUCUGGGCGUAACGACCGUGAGCGGACCGGCAUGCUGCGCGGACAGGAAGUAAAAUCCAUCCAUCCAUCCAUUUUCUACCAUUUAUCCCCUUCGGGGUUGCAGAGGGCGCUGGCGCCUAUCUCAGCUACGAUCAGGCGGAAGGCGGUGUACACCCUGGACAAGUCGCCACCUCAUCACAGGGCACCAGCUUCUUCAUAUUUUCAUGGAUAAAUGUCCGCCGUUUGGAUGUCACUGUAACAUUCCUGGCUAACGUUAUCGGCUCAUUCUGCUGCUGUCACGACUUGGACUUGGGCGUGGAUUGUUUUCCCGAGGCAACGAAAAGUUGGCGUGAAUGAAGGAUGAAACUUCCUGAUGCAACCCUGGCCGGGAAUCGAACCCAUGCGAGGCAGAUGCGUGUCCCGUUACCCCAGCAGGGACGCCUCACGCUUGGGAGACAUAACGGAGGUGAAAGUUAAGACGUGAAAUAAAAAGAAGUGAGGAUGUCCUGCGGUGUAGCGACUUUAUGUCUAUCAAUCAUUAUUUGUAUUGAUGCUUUCUUGAGAGGACUACAAUACGAUCACUGAUCGGAUGUUCCAGCCCUGUCAUUACUUUUAACUCUCAAUCUCACCUUCAUUCCUCUUUCUUUCUUUUCUUUCCAAGUUUG